RNAcentral lists this long non-coding RNA (892 nucleotides) under Gossypium barbadense (sea-island cotton). RNAcentral describes it as "long non-coding RNA (GBAR_LNC004127)". The record is from RNAcentral. Lineage: Eukaryota; Viridiplantae; Streptophyta; Magnoliopsida; Malvales; Malvaceae.
ACAGCUCCAAGCCCACUAUGGUUGGGGAUUUCCUGCGUGGAUGAAAAUAAAAGGGGUGAGUUUGGGGAAACUCAGUGUGUAAGGAAAACCCAUUCGAAGCCCAAGUCAGCUCAAGCCUAUUGGGCCUAAGCCCAUUCAGGUAACAGUGGUACUGGGCCAGAGCCCUUUUCAGAUUACAAUAAACUGGGCCUUAGCCCCUUAUUCAGAUAACAGUAUGGCCCAUAGGCCCAUUUCAAAAUACAUGCAACAUCAGUAAACAUAUGCAAGCCCAUUUGGGGAGACUACUCAACCCACCAGCCACUACACUCCACCCGUACCAGCCAUACACUCCAUGUGGGGAAUAGCUCAACCCACCCAGCCCAACACUCCACAAUUGCAGCCUUGCUGCUCAGUUAACAGUAAAUUGAGGCAAAGCCUCCAGUACGUGGACAAGCCACUUUCAGUACUUCCUCCGUCAAUAUCCCAGUCCCAUGCAUCAGAUAAUAACAUGACUUGCAGUAAAUAACAACAGUCAAACAUGCAUUUAGGUCAAUUUAACCCUAGGGGUAUUUCGGUAAUUUAUCUCCUAGGGGUAAAACUGUAAAUUUUCCACUUUUAAAGGUAUUUCAGUAAUUUAUCUAUUUUAGGGUUUUUCAUGCAUAUUCCUACCUUUCACGUACUGCAGAAUCACGUACCGAGGGUUCUUACCGAAUUUGGCCCGUUAGCCCAUCAUUCCAAUUUUGGCCCAUUAAGCCCAAAAAUAUCGAGGGCACAGAAAUCAUGCACUUUGCAGUCCAAACAUUGCAGCUUACCAAAAACAUUAAUCGAUUUACCUCACGAGCAUUCGCACAUUCGCAAAUCUACAAAAUACCGGUUUUCGACAUUUCGGCUUUUCAGCUUUCACCGAUCUAGA